UUUUUUUAAUAUUAUUUAUUAAUGUUUUUGAGUAAAUUUUCAACUUGAUCCGAGAAUGGGAAGUUGGAGAAAUAAGGUGUAAAACAUUUGUACCAGACAGACAGACGGACUGAGCUGACACAAGCUUUGUAAAAAGAUGUGUUCAAAUAUUAACAUUAUAUGCUCAAUUCAUACUUACAAGUUCUCAAAAUGGUCCUCCACAUCUCAAAUAGAAUCAGACACCGACACAUCCACACUGAUACACACAGACACAAUGACAGACACAUACAUGUGCCUCAUUAACAAGCAAGUUAUUUUAUUAAAGAUGAUCUUGGGGGAUAGAAAGUCCAAACCAUUUUUAAAAUAUGUUUUUAAAGGCAUAUUCAUCAGAGACGUUUCAUAUUUCAAAAGAAAAAAUUGUCUUUCAAUAAAUUCAAACUGUUUUUAAAGUUACACAGUUGUGGACCAUGAGAGUAAAGACUGUGAAAUGCUGACACUGGAAAGUUUCAGUAAGUCAAAUAAAAUUCAUUACAACAGAACUUUUCCCAUGUAUUCAGUUUAUACACAAAUUACCUAAUUAUUAUAUUAAAGAAUAAUUAAGGACUAUACAAUUAGGCUCAAUAAAAGAGGGACUGGAUUUUUUGUUUGUUUCAAAAUAAUAAAAAUAAAAAUAUUUUCAUUGAACAAUUUAUUUGAUUGACUAGAUAUAGUUCUUUUUUUUUUUUAGAAUUCAAAAAUAUGUUUACACAAAUUGUACUUCAAAAGCUAGAAAUACAUAAAAUGUUUAUAUUGUAAGGGUAAAAAAUGUUAUUUGUUUACUAUUAGGCCUAUAUGUUAUAAAUAAACAAAUCAAAAACAUUAUAGAUACAUUUUUUUUGGAGUCAUUAAUGAAAAGCUACAUCAUCAACAAAGAUAUUACACACUCAAUUCUAUUUUUAAAAGUUUUUCUAUCUUAUUUAUGGCAGAAGUUAUUUCCUGAAUAGUAGAGUAUCAUGUUUGAAAAAUAAAAAUUUCAGCUAUGAAUAAAUGUUAUCCUAAAAUAUGAACAAACCAAUUAAAAAUUGGUUGUAUGCAUAUUCCAAAUGUCAUUUUAAAGUUUCAUUUUUUUUCCAAUCUGACCUACUUUAUAGCCAAUGUCUCGUUAAAAAUUCAGACUGCAUUGAUCAGACUGCUACUUCUAGACAAGUAAAUUUCAUUUAAAAAAUUUAAAAGAAGUAAAAUCUACAUGAAUUACCAGAAAAGUGGAUGUCUUGAAACAGUGUUCAAAUUUAAACCUACACCAGUGAAAACAUUAAAACAAAUGGAAGGAAUUGAGCCUUAAAAAAUGGUGAAGAAAACAUAGACAUAGAAAAUAUAGAAAUAAAAAACAAAGAUAUAUAAAAAACAACAACAUAGACAUAGAGAGCAUAGACUAAGAAAAACAAAGUUCUAAAAAGAUUUGAUAUUUAAACAUAAAUAGUAUAAUAAUUUUUUUAAACAAUGUAAUCAUUAUAUCUUUUUAACAAGAAGAAACAAUUUCAAAUUGUAACUUAAAUCAUUGUUCUAGAUUGUCCAAUGAGACACAGAACAUUCUAUUAUCCCAAGGACCUAAAGACAGCAGACCAUUCGUUGUGGACAAAGUUAGGUUUCACCCCGAGUAGGAGACUGAGAACAAGAGCCUGACUGUAAACUUGAUAAGCCCUAAGCUAUUUGACAAAUGGGGCCAUUUGUGAUCAACAUAAAACCAUUUAUUCCUUUACCAUAAUAUCAAUGUUAUAGUGAUCAAGGAAAAGAUAAAAGAAUGUAACAUAAUUACUAUAAAUGUAGGAUCACUUAAAUAAAUGUAACAUUACUUAAAUGAAUGUAACAUCACUUAAAUGAAUGUAACAUCCCUUAUAUGAAUGUAACAUCACUCAAAUGAAUGUAACCACUCAAAUGAAUGUAUCAUCCCUCAAAUGAAUGUAACAUCC
Non-coding RNA from Biomphalaria pfeifferi, 1928 nucleotides. The record is from the annotation of a GenBank genome assembly. Lineage: Eukaryota; Metazoa; Mollusca; Gastropoda; Planorbidae.